CGGCGAGUGAAGCGGCAACAGCUCAAAUUUGAAAUCUGGCCCUUGGGUCCGAAUUGUAAUUUGUAGAGGAUGCUUUUGGUGCGGUGCCUUCCGAGUUCCCUGGAACGGGACGCCAUAGAGGGUGAGAGCCCCGUCUGGUUGGACGCCAAUCCUCUGUAAAGCUCCUUCGACGAGUCGAGUAGUUUGGGAAUGCUGCUCUAAAUGGGAGGUAUAUGUCUUCUAAAGCUAAAUACCGGCCAGAGACCGAUAGCGCACAAGUAGAGUGAUCGAAAGAUGAAAAGCACUUUGAAAAGAGGGUUAAAUAGUACGUGAAAUUGUUGAAAGGGAAGCGCUUGUGACCAGACUUGAGCCCGGUUAAUCAUCCAGCCUUCUGGCUGGUGCACUUGGCCGGCUCAGGCCAGCAUCAGUUCGGCGCGGGGGAUAAAGACUUCGGGAAUGUGGCUCCCCCGGGAGUGUUAUAGCCCGUUGUGCAAUACCCUGUGCUGGACUGAGGUUCGCGCAUCUGCAAGGAUGCUGGCGUAAUGGUCAUCAGCGACCCGUCUUGAAACACGGACCAAGGAGUCGUCUUCGUAUGCGAGUGUUCGGGUGUCAAACCCCUACGCGUAAUGAAAGUGAACGCAGGUGAGAGCUUCGGCGCAUCAUCGACCGAUCCUGAUGUUCUCGGAUGGAUUUGAGUAAGAGCAUACGGAGCCGGACCCGAAAGAAGGUGAACUAUGCCUGUAUAGGGUGAAGCCAGAGGAAACUCUGGUGGAGGCUCGCAGCGGUUCUGACGUGCAAAUCGAUCGUCAAAUAU
This 793-nucleotide ribosomal RNA is filed under the name Pseudocosmospora eutypellae. RNAcentral describes it as "eukaryotic LSU rRNA". It matches the Rfam family "Eukaryotic large subunit ribosomal RNA", at positions 87 to 912 of the family's 3401-position model. The record is from RNAcentral. RNAcentral also lists the same sequence under 1 other name. Lineage: Eukaryota; Fungi; Ascomycota; Sordariomycetes; Hypocreales; Nectriaceae.